AUUGAACGCUGGCGGCAGGCCUAACACAUGCAAGUCGAACGGUAGCAGGAAGAAGCUUGCUUCUUUGCUGACGAGUGGCGGACGGGUGAGUAAUGUCUGGGAAACUGCCUGAUGGAGGGGGAUAACUACUGGAAACGGUAGCUAAUACCGCAUAACGUCGCAAGACCAAAGAGGGGGACCUUCGGGCCUCUUGCCAUCGGAUGUGCCCAGAUGGGAUUAGCUAGUAGGUGGGGUAACGGCUCACCUAGGCGACGAUCCCUAGCUGGUCUGAGAGGAUGACCAGCCACACGGGAACUGAGACACGGUCCAGACUCCUACGGGAGGCAGCAGUGGGGAAUAUUGCACAAUGGGCGCAAGCCUGAUGCAGCCAUGCCGCGUGUAUGAAGAAGGCCUUCGGGUUGUAAAGUACUUUCAGCGGGGAGGAAGGGAGUAAAGUUAAUACCUUUGCUCAUUGACGUUACCCGCAGAAGAAGCACCGGCUAACUCCGUG
Molecule: ribosomal RNA, 490 nt
Filed under: uncultured bacterium
Lineage: Bacteria
Description: partial 16S ribosomal RNA
Rfam family: Bacterial small subunit ribosomal RNA
Source: RNAcentral